UGGGAUGCGCCGAUUUUUACUAGUCGGCACUCCUAAAAUGUAGCUCUUGGCUGUUUCCUACUACAGCAGUUUGGCCUAAUAGUUUUUGACUUUUUGUCAAAUCUUUGGCUACAUUUGCUUCUGGAAAUCAGUCUUGAUAAUACAGAAAACUCAUUUCAAACUUUGAUCUGAAAUCAGGUAGGGCUACCCGCUGAACUUAA
This 200-nucleotide unclassified non-coding RNA is filed under the name soil metagenome. Its description in RNAcentral is "partial contains internal transcribed spacer 2 and large subunit ribosomal RNA". The record is from RNAcentral.